CCCGGACCCGGUGAAAAUCCGGGUGGCUCUUCCGGCCGCCGAUCCGCCGGACAACC
Martelella mediterranea DSM 17316 is the source of this 56-nucleotide regulatory RNA element. It matches the Rfam family "sul1 RNA". The record is from Rfam. Lineage: Bacteria; Pseudomonadati; Pseudomonadota; Alphaproteobacteria; Hyphomicrobiales; Aurantimonadaceae.